RNAcentral lists this ribosomal RNA (1741 nucleotides) under Burkholderiaceae bacterium. Its description in RNAcentral is "partial 23S ribosomal RNA". It matches the Rfam family "Bacterial large subunit ribosomal RNA", at positions 24 to 1880 of the family's 2925-position model. Lineage: Bacteria; Pseudomonadati; Pseudomonadota; Betaproteobacteria; Burkholderiales; Burkholderiaceae. The record is from RNAcentral.
GUGGAUGCCUUGGCGAUUACAGGCGAUGAAGGACGUUGUAGACUGCGAAAAGCUUCGGGGAGCCGUCAAACAGGCUUUGAUCCGGAGAUGUCCGAAUGGGGAAACCCACCCGCAAGGGUAUCCCACGCUGAAUACAUAGGCGUGUGGAGGCGAACCUGGUGAACUGAAACAUCUAAGUAGCCAGAGGAAAAGAAAUCAACCGAGAUUCCGAAAGUAGUGGCGAGCGAAAUCGGACAAGCCGUCGAGUUUUAGCAGCUUUGUUAUCAGAACGGUCUGGAAAGGCCGGCCAUAGUGGGUGAUAGCCCCGUAUGAAAAAACAUCGUUGUGGAACUAGGCUCGACAUAAGUAGGGCGGGACACGUGUAAUCCUGUCUGAAGAUGGGGGGACCAUCCUCCAAGGCUAAAUACUCGUAAUCGACCGAUAGCGAACUAGUACCGUGAGGGAAAGGCGAAAAGAACCCCGGGAGGGGAGUGAAAUAGAUCCUGAAACGAUAUGCAUACAAACAGUCGGAGCCCGCAAGGGUGACGGCGUACCUUUUGUAUAAUGGGUCAGCGACUUACGUUCAGUAGCAAGGUUAACCAAUAGGGAAGCCGCAGGGAAACCGAGUCCGAAUAGGGCGACUAGUUGCUGGGCGUAGACCCGAAACCGGAUGAUCUAUCCAUGGCCAGGAUGAAGGUGCGGUAACACGCACUGGAGGUCCGAACCCACUAGUGUUGCAAAACUAGGGGAUGAGCUGUGGAUAGGGGUGAAAGGCUAAACAAAUCCGGAAAUAGCUGGUUCUCUCCGAAAACUAUUUAGGUAGUGCCUCGUGUAUUGCUCCGGGGGGUAGAGCACUGUUAUGGUUGUGGGGGUCAUUGCGACUUACUGCGCCAUUGCAAACUCCGAAUACCCGGAAGUAUGAGCACGGGAGACAGAGCACUGGGUGCUAACGUCCAGACUCAAGAGGGACAGUCAGGAGGUUGGCUUAGAAGCAGCCACCCUUUAAAGAAAGCGUAAUAGCUCACUGAUCGAGUCGUCCUGCGCGGAAGAUGUAACGGGGCUAAGUCAAUAACCGAAGCUGCGGAUCUCGUAAGAGAUGGUAGGAGAGCGUUCUGUACGCCUGUGAAGGUGAGUCGUAAGGCUUGCUGGAGGUAUCAGAAGUGCGAAUGCUGACAUGAGUAGCGUUAAAAGCAGUGAAAAACUGCUUCGCCGAAAGCGCAAGGUUUCCUACGCAACGUUAAUCGACGUAGGGUGAGUCGGCCCCUAAGGUGAGGGCGAAAGCCGUAACUGAUGGGAAGCAGGUGAAUAUUCCUGCACCGCCGUUCAAUGCGAUGGGGGGACGAAGAAGGUUAGCUCAGCCAGGUGUUGGAUGUCCUGGUUUAAGCGUGUAGUCUUGCCUGGUAGGCAAAUCCGCCGGGCUUAGAUGAGGCGUGAUGACGAGUGGCUUCGGCCACGAAGUGAGUGAUACCCAGCUUCCAAGAAAAGCCUCUAAGCUUCAGUUGAACGGGACCGUACCGCAAACCGACACUGGUGCGCGUGCUGAAUAUGCUCAGGCGCUUGAGAGAACUCAGGAGAAGGAACUCGGCAAAUUGAUACCGUAACUUCGGGAGAAGGUAUGCCCCUAGUAGGUGAAGGAGUACAUCCGGAGCCAAAUGGGGUCUCAGAGAAUCGGUGGCUGCGACUGUUUACCAAAAACACAGCACUCUGCAAACACGUAAGUGGACGUAUAGGGUGUGACGCCUGCCCGGUGCCGGAAGGUUAA